This 251-nucleotide ribosomal RNA is filed under the name uncultured bacterium. RNAcentral's name for it is "partial 16S ribosomal RNA". It matches the Rfam family "Bacterial small subunit ribosomal RNA", at positions 524 to 776 of the family's 1533-position model. The record is from RNAcentral.
UACAGAGGGUGCGAGCGUUAAUCGGAAUUACUGGGCGUAAAGCGUGCGUAGACGGCUAUCUAAGUCGGGUGAAAUCCCCGGGCUCAACCCGGGAACUGCGUCCGAUACUGGCAGGCUUGAAUCCGGGAGAGGGAUGCGGAAUUCCAGGUGUAGCGGUGAAAUGCGUAGAUAUCUGGAGGAACACCGGUGGCGAAGGCGGCAUCCUGGACCGGCAUUGACGCUGAGGCGCGAAAGCCAGGGGAGCAAACGGG